This 533-nucleotide ribosomal RNA is filed under the name uncultured bacterium. RNAcentral's name for it is "bacterial SSU rRNA". It matches the Rfam family "Bacterial small subunit ribosomal RNA", at positions 95 to 630 of the family's 1533-position model. The record is from RNAcentral.
ACGGCGCACGGGUGCGUAACACGUGGGUAAUCUGCCCUCUGAUGGGGAAUAACCCGCCGAAAGGCGGGCUAAUUCCGCAUAACAUUCCCUGGACUCCGGUUCGGGGAUUCAAAGGCGUAAGUCGUCGGAGGUGGAGCCCGCGCACGAUUAGCUAGUUGGUGAGGUAACGGCUCACCAAGGCAAUGAUCGUUAGCUGGUCUGAGAGGAUGGCCAGCCACACUGGAACUGAGACACGGUCCAGACUCCUACGGGAGGCAGCAGUGGGGAAUCUUGCACAAUGGGCGAAAGCCUGAUGCAGCGACGCCGCGUGGGGGAUGAAGCAUCUCGGUGUGUAAACCCCUUUCGACUGGGACGAAUGCCUCGCAGGAGGACUGACGGUACCAGUAUAAGAAGCCCCGGCUAACUACGUGCCAGCAGCCGCGGUAAGACGUAGGGGGCCAGCGUUGUUCGGAAUUACUGGGUGUAAAGGGUUCGUAGGCGGUGUGGCAAGUUGGGAGUGAAAUCUCUGGGCUUAACUCAGAGGCUGCUUCCAA